UAGGGAAUCUUCCACAAUGGACGCAAGUCUGAUGGAGCAACGCCGCGUGAGUGAAGAAGGUUUUCGGAUCGUAAAGCUCUGUUGUUGGUGAAGAAGGAUAGAGGCAGUAACUGGUCUUUAUUUGACGGUAAUCAACCAGAAAGUCACGGCUAACUACGUGCCAGCAGCCGCGGUAAUACGUAGGUGGCAAGCGUUGUCCGGAUUUAUUGGGCGUAAAGCGAGCGCAGGCGGAAUGAUAAGUCUGAUGUGAAAGCCCACGGCUCAACCGUGGAACUGCAUCGGAAACUGUCAUUCUUGAGUGCAGAAGAGGAGAGUGGAAUUCCAUGUGUAGCGGUGGAAUGCGUAGAUAUAUGGAAGAACACCAGUGGCGAAGGCGGCUCUCUGGUCUGCAACUGACACUGAGGCUCGAAAGCAUGGGUAGCGAACAGG
Molecule: ribosomal RNA, 429 nt
Filed under: bacterium
Lineage: Bacteria
Description: partial 16S ribosomal RNA
Rfam family: Bacterial small subunit ribosomal RNA
Source: RNAcentral